Molecule: non-coding RNA, 98 nt
Organism: Pelobates cultripes (western spadefoot toad)
Lineage: Eukaryota; Metazoa; Chordata; Amphibia; Anura; Pelobatidae
Source: the annotation of a GenBank genome assembly
UGUUGAAGAAUGAUUAUUCGCCUUAGGGUGCCUCCCCCAAUAUCAUGGGGGCUGAUCCAAAUCGGGGGAGGCACCUUAAGGCGAAUAAUCAUUCUUCA